This is a long non-coding RNA of Gallus gallus (chicken), 1367 nucleotides long. Lineage: Eukaryota; Metazoa; Chordata; Aves; Galliformes; Phasianidae. The record is from Ensembl.
CCAGAGAGUAGUGUAGCCUUAUUUGAGGGGUGACAUGACAUAACAAAUAACAGCAAGUGUAUGUAUAUAAAAUAGAGAGUGUAAAGAGUACCUUCUAUUAGCACCAUUCAUCCCACUUGUCAGCUCAGCACAGCAGCACUGGCGAGCAGUUUAAGUUUCUUACUGGUACUGAAGCAGAGAACAACUACCUAAAAAGGCAAAGAUGUGGAUGGGGGUGUUGGUGGCCUCACUCUGGUGGUUUUCAGUUCAUGAUUGCUGGGCCCUUGUUGCUCGAGGAACUGCUUGUCAGUGACCGUAGCAGGCAAACCCCAGGGCCACCCUGCAUUGAGUGGGAUCCUCUCUCUAACACUGCUGUGAAGAAGCCCGAAGGAUCCUAAAACGCGAACCACCACCCCGCAGCAGCACGUCUCUGCAUGUGUCCUGGGCCAGCCUGCGGUGUGCUGCUCCCCCUCUGCGGUGACGCCGUGUGCAUCUUGCUGGGAGGAAUAGCUGAUGGCGCUGCUGGAAGCAAAGCAGUGUCGGCAGGGGACGAUAAGGUGGAGCAGGAAUCUUGGGUGCAGACAGACCACAGGGAGGACUGGUGCCAUUGUAUCAAAGAGGAGACCCCAAAUAGAGGAUGAUGAACAGUUCUACUUGGCAGUCCCAAGGAGCCCAGGGCUCCCUGACCCCAGCCCUUCCUAAUGCUGCCGCCCACCUCUUCCAGCAUAUCAACUACAGGGCAGAAAAGACCAAACUAUUAUAACGGCAUGACUAUUCGUCCUGUCACCAACAGCUGGACUGAGGGUAGGAAAAGAGGAAGGAAGCUGUAUUUUAUGAUUGUUGUAUAAAUGCUCUCAGUUAGAAUGAAAUUCUCCAUCUAAGUUAAGACCACUUUCACACUCACCAACCACUGAAUUGUCAGCAGUGUCAUCACGGCACCAAAUGUCUUUAUUAUCACAAACCUUACCAUUUUUCUUGCCUCACGGAGGCCUGCAAGCUCUGCUAACAGAGCCAACUGUGCUCACAGAACUUACCUGGAUUUCAUUAAGGCACUUGGUACCAAACGGUGCAGAGAAGGAGCUGGAUUUACAAGCCAAUGUACAGAGCAAUCUUCAAGGGCUGCUAUUAAUACGGCAUCGAUCAGUAAAGGUCCCUGCUCCCAGAUCAAAGCUCCUCCGCAGUUUGAUAACCACCCCAGCAACAGCUCUCCCGGCUCCCUUCUUCCCUCCCUUAGCGCGGCAGACGCCACCCGCCUGCACGCCCGAGCCCCCACAGGGCACCAGAGGGCGGUAAGGCAGCACGCCGCACAGCUCGCCAACACCCGCCCGACUCAUACGCGGGACACUUCCAGGUUACGCGCGUGACGUUGUGGCUCGGGCGGGCUAGAG